RNAcentral lists this ribosomal RNA (468 nucleotides) under uncultured bacterium. Its description in RNAcentral is "partial 16S ribosomal RNA". It matches the Rfam family "Bacterial small subunit ribosomal RNA", at positions 28 to 507 of the family's 1533-position model. The record is from RNAcentral.
GACGAACGCUGGCGGCGUGCUUAACACAUGCAAGUCGAACGGAAAGGCCCUGCUUUUGUGGGGUGCUCGAGUGGCGAACGGGUGAGUAACACGUGAGUAACCUGCCCUUGACUUUGGGAUAACUUCAGGAAACUGGGGCUAAUACCGGAUAGGAGCUCCUGCUUCAUGGUGGGGGUUGGAAAGUUUCGGCGGUUGGGGAUGGACUCGCGGCUUAUCAGCUUGUUGGUGGGGUAGUGGCUUACCAAGGCUUUGACGGGUAGCCGGCCUGGGAGGGUGACCGGCCACAUUGGGACUGAGAUACGGCCCAGACUCCUACGGGAGGCAGCAGUGUGGAAUAUUGCAACAUGGGCGGAAGCCUGAUGCAGCCACGCCGCGUGCGGGAUGACGGCCUUCGGGUUGUAAACCGCUUUCGCCUGUGACGAAGCGUGAGUGACGGUAAUGGGUAAAGAAGCACCGGCUAACUACGUG